GCCACCUUAGCUCAGGGGUUAGAGCACUGGUCUUGUAAACCAGGGGUCGAGAGUUCAAAUCUCUCAGGUGGCU
RNAcentral lists this transfer RNA (73 nucleotides) under Lytechinus variegatus (green sea urchin). RNAcentral describes it as "tRNA-Thr". It matches the Rfam family "tRNA". Rfam says of the family: Transfer RNA (tRNA) molecules are approximately 80 nucleotides in length. Their secondary structure includes four short double-helical elements and three loops (D, anti-codon, and T loops). The record is from RNAcentral. Lineage: Eukaryota; Metazoa; Echinodermata; Echinoidea; Temnopleuroida; Toxopneustidae.